ACGAACGCUGGCGGCGUGCCUAAUACAUGCAAGUAGAACGCUGAAGAGAGGAGCUUGCUCUUCUUGGAUGAGUUGCGAACGGGUGAGUAACGCGUAGGUAACCUGCCUUGUAGCGGGGGAUAACUAUUGGAAACGAUAGCUAAUACCGCAUAACAAUGGAUGACCCAUGUCAUUUAUUUGAAAGGGGCAAAUGCUCCACUACAAGAUGGACCUGCGUUGUAUUAGCUAGUAGGUGAGGUAACGGCUCACCUAGGCGACGAUACAUAGCCGACCUGAGAGGGUGAUCGGCCACACUGGGACUGAGACACGGCCCAGACUCCUACGGGAGGCAGCAGUAGGGAAUCUUCGGCAAUGGGGGCAACCCUGACCGAGCAACGCCGCGUGAGUGAAGAAGGUUUUCGGAUCGUAAAGCUCUGUUGUAAGUCAAGAACGAGUGUGAGAGUGGAAAGUUCACACUGUGACGGUAGCUUACCAGAAAGAGACGGCUAACUACGUG
Molecule: ribosomal RNA, 496 nt
Filed under: uncultured bacterium
Lineage: Bacteria
Description: partial 16S ribosomal RNA
Rfam family: Bacterial small subunit ribosomal RNA
Source: RNAcentral